CCAGCAGGGAUCCGUAGCUGGUUUGAGAGGAUGAUCAGCCACAUCGGGACUGAGACACGGCCGAACUCUACGGGAGGCAGCAGUGGGGAAUAUUGGACAAUGGGGGCAACCCUGAUCCAGCCAUGCCGCGUGUGUGAAGAAGGCCCUCGGGUUGUAAAGCACUUUCAGCGAGGAAGAACGCCUAGUGGUUAAUACCCAUUAGGAAAGACAUCACUCGCAGAAGAAGCACCGGCUAACUCCGUGCCAGCAGCCGCGGUAAUACGGAGGGUGCAAGCGUUAAUCGGAAUUACUGGGCGUAAAGCGCGCGUAGGUGGCUUGAUAAGCCGGUUGUGAAAGCCCCGGGCUCAACCUGGGAACGGCAUCCGGAACUGUCAGGCUAGAGUGCAGGAGAGGAAGGUAGAAUUCCCGGUGUAGCGGUGAAAUGCGUAGAGAUCGGGAGGAAUACCAGUGGCGAAGGCGGCCUUCUGGACUGACACUGACACUGAGGUGCGAAAGCGUGGGUAGCAAACAGGAUUAGAUACCCUGGUAGUCCACGCCGUAAACGAUGUCGACCAGCCGUUGGGUGCCUAGCGCACUUUGUGGCGAAGUUAACGCGAUAAGUCGACCGCCUGGGGAGUACGGCCGCAAGGUUAAAACUCAAAUGAAUUGACGGGGGCCCGCACAAGCGGUGGAGCAUGUGGUUUAAUUCGAUGCAACGCGAAGAACCUUACCUACCCUUGACAUCGACAGAAGCCGAGAGAGAUCUUGGUGUGCCUUCGGGAACUGUCAGACAGGUGCUGCAUGGCUGUCGUCAGCUCGUGUUGUGAAAUGUUGGGUUAAGUCCCGUAACGAGCGCAACCCUUGUCCUUAUUUGCCAGCGCGUAAUGGCGGGAACUCUAAGGAGACUGCCGGUGACAAACCGGAGGAAGGUGGGGACGACGUCAAGUCAUCAUGGCCCUUACGGGUAGGGCUACACACGUGCUACAAUGGCCGGUACAAAGGGCAGCGAGCUCGCGAGAGUCAGCGAAUCCCUUAAAGCCGGUCUCAGUCCGGAUCGGAGUCUGCAACUCGACUCCGUGAAGUCGGAAUCGCUAGUAAUCGGAAUCAGAAG
Molecule: ribosomal RNA, 1090 nt
Filed under: uncultured bacterium
Lineage: Bacteria
Description: bacterial SSU rRNA
Rfam family: Bacterial small subunit ribosomal RNA
Source: RNAcentral